GCGUUGCAGUUUAUUGAGCUCGAUCGAGAAGUGUGACGAAGAAGGCCGUUAAUAAUUCAACUACUUAAAGAAUACGGGUUAGAUAUGGGCAACGACUUCGAAGACAUUUGCAGUAGGCUAAACAGAGAAAGAGAGGGAGACCCAAAACUACCUGUCCUGGCAUCACAUUUGAGGAGGAGAUGAAGUCGGUGAAUAUGACCUAGCCCGGGGGAGUUUCCAGGAGACGGCCCAGAACCACUGGCCGCCAGGAGUGGAGGUCCUUUGUUGUUGCUCUACAUGUCAGGAGGCAUCGGGCAGUAGGUAAGACUAACCCUGGUAGAAGCACCAUCUUGAUACCAUCAUUCAAACUCUCAUCAGCUGUAUCAUUAUAGGUGGACUAAAAGAACAAUAUUCAUGCAGAUAUAAUGAUGCCUUAAGUUGAAAUGGAAGGUGUCCUGAAUCUGCACCCAUUCAUCUGGUUUCGUAACUCCUUUCAUAGUGCUAUUGGAACCUGCUCCCUACCAGUAUAACAUCAAACAGAUUGGAAGAAUAAAGGCCAAUGGGAAGUGCCUUUUAUAUUUCUACUUGCCACAAAGCAGUCCGUGGUUUAGCGCGAUCUAAACUGGACUAUUGUAAUGCUCUUCGUGCUUGAAUUAGGGCGAUCUGGACUGACUGCAGAUAGUACAGAAUGCUGCAUCUAUUGUGCCAUUUGCCAUACGCCAACUUCGCUGGCUGCAAGUCAAGGAAAGGAUAUACAUGUACAUGAACAUCAGUGUCCGUCUCCUGAUUUUCAAAGUCAAUGACAGAGAUCCAGAUUACAUGUAUUAUAAGGAAUCCCUUGUGCGUCAUUUUCAUUCUAGGCGCACUUGCCUUUUUAUUUUUGUGAUCAUUACGCACCUACAAAUUAGCUACUGGUGAUGCAACUUUCUCCACUACUGCUCCAAGGCCAUGGAAUUAGCUCCUUCCUCUCCUCCAGUUGUCAACAACCUUGGAUCAAUCCAAAUACAAUUUGAGAAGACCUACCAUAUUCCUGAUCUUUGCUCUGUACUUACAACAAUACUGUCACUGCCUGGUAAUUUGAAUUUUUUAAAAUCUCACGGAUGGCAUCUCAAAGUGCUUUGUAUCUCGCAAAAUAAUGUGUUGUGUAAAAGCGAACACGCAUUGAGGUCAAGCAUAAGGGUAACCAUGGAUAUUGCCUUUUAUUACUUUUUAACAAAAGUGAAAAAUUCAUCCAAAUUAGACAAGGGAUAAUAAAGUAAUGUAUGACAUUCUAACCUCUGCAUUAUUUUGGUGAAAGAGCUCUAAGCAUAUGCAAGUAGCAAGCUGAUGAUGUCAUACUGACGUACAUUUUACGUGUACACGUAUCCCCAGCUUAUUAUUUUGUAUAUAAAAUUGUGCAUUUAAUUUUGUUUACCAAGAAUGAAACAAAUCGGAUUGUAAACUGUAUUGAUGUGACUUACCUGUAUUGAUUAUUGCUGGAAGUUCUUUUGCUACAUGGGAUUGGAAGACAUACUUAUUACACACAUGAAGUAAAUUAUUAUUUUAUCUGGUAACAUGAGAACAAUAAAAAUGUGGGCAUGAUAUCAUAAACUUACAUGUAUCUACUUGCAUGUGUUGAUGACCAAUAUUUUUGUAAAUAUUAUUUUUUAAAUUUUAUCUGAUUUUGAUAAAAUUUUCACUAUUUUGCAUGGUAAAAAUUACUUUAUUUUAGAUUAUGUUGAGCCCGUAUCAUAUACAAGUACACCUUUAAAGAUAAAUUACCAGUUGUACAUGUAGUAACAAUCUUAAAAUGAGUUCGAACAGAAUCCAAUAGAAUUACCAGCAAAAUAUAAAAGAUAUGUGCCAUAAUUAUAGCUCGGGAAGAAAAUGUGUAAUUGCUGAGAAAUUAGCAAAAUAAGCAUGUAAUUCUAUCAAGGUAUCAGGUAUUUUUCAAAUCAAUCAUAAUACACUGUCCUGUCCCACAUAUGCUUUUCUGUGUUAGUGAUCAUCAGAAUAAUUGAUUUUAAGUUCAAAAUUAGUGAUUUUACAAAGAUACAAGUUUACAUUAAUGUACCAGAUCUAGAGAUUAUGUACAAUAUUUUGACAAUUUCUCAUGAAAUAAUUGUUUGCUGCAACUGCUGUCUUUUUAAUACCUCUAAGUGAUAGUGUAAUACAACCACAAACUUUUCUUAAGAAUUAAUGUACAUGUAUGAUUCUUUCACCCAAAUUUACAUGCAUUGAUACUGUUGACUAUUUGCCAAAAGUUCCUGCCAAAAGCCUUUUUUUUAACGAUGUACAUGCUUUUAUAGACGACCUGCCAAAACAUUGUUUUGUAUAUAUAUUCAAGGACCAACCAAAAAGAGAUGAAUAAAAUGUUUGAAGGAAAUUGAAAUUAACUUUAAAAAUGAUAGCUGUCAAUGCAGUAUUAUUACAGGGUUCCCACAGUCAUGGAAAAUCCUGGAAAAAAUAGGUCAUGGAAAGUCAGGGAUAUGUGAAAAGUCUUGGAAUUGCGUUUACCUCUUGGCUAUGACAGCUUUCUAGUUUUUAUGUCUCACAACUCUCAUACUCUGUGAUUGUACUCUUCUAAUAUAAUUGGUGUUCAUGAUCAUAACAUGUCUGAUUUUGUAAACUGUGCCAGAAAGGAAUUAAGUCAUGGAAAGCAGCAAUUUAGUCAUGGAGAGGUCAUGGAAUUCUGUUUUCAAAUUUCUGUGGGAACCCUGAAUUUUUUUUUUUGUGCACUUGACACAGUGUGCACUACAGAUGAACUUUGUAAUGCCAUGAUAUAAACCAGUACAAUAUCUU
Lytechinus pictus (painted urchin) is the source of this 2760-nucleotide long non-coding RNA. RefSeq lists it as uncharacterized. NCBI's taxonomy places the organism in Eukaryota, Metazoa, Echinodermata, Echinoidea, Temnopleuroida, Toxopneustidae. The record is from RefSeq and is a predicted model, not a curated record. The transcript has 4 exons.